CCUACGGGUGGCAGCAGUGGGGAAUAUUGCACAAUGGGGGAAACCCUGAUGCAGCGACGCCGCGUGGGUGAUGAAGUAUUUCGGUAUGUAAAGCUCUAUCAGCAGGGAAGAAAAUGACGGUACCUGAUUAAUAAGCCCCGGCUAACUACGUGCCAGCAGCCGCGGUAAUACGUAGGGGGCAAGCGUUAUCCGGAUUUACUGGGCGUAAAGGGAGCGUAGACGGCAGCACAAGUCAGGUGUGAAAUGCUGUGGCUUAACCCCGGAACUGCUUUGGAAACUGUGCAGCUAGAGUGUAGGAGAGGUAGGUGGAAUUCUUAGUGUAGCGGUGAAAUGCGUGGAGAUUAGGAGGAACACUAGUUGCGAAGGCGGCUUACUGGACUGUAACUGACGUUGAUGCGCGAAAGCGUGGGGAGCAAACAGGAUUAGAUACCCCAGUAGUC
Molecule: ribosomal RNA, 440 nt
Filed under: uncultured bacterium
Lineage: Bacteria
Description: partial 16S ribosomal RNA
Rfam family: Bacterial small subunit ribosomal RNA
Source: RNAcentral